Molecule: ribosomal RNA, 253 nt
Filed under: uncultured bacterium
Lineage: Bacteria
Description: partial 16S ribosomal RNA
Rfam family: Bacterial small subunit ribosomal RNA
Source: RNAcentral
UACAGAGGUCUCAAGCGUUGUUCCGAUUCAUUGGGCGUAAAGGGUGCGUAGGUGGCGUGGUAAGUCGGGUGUGAAAUUUCGGAGCUUAACUCCGAAACUGCAUUCGAUACUGCUGUGCUUGAGGACUGGAGAGGAGACUGGAAUUUACGGUGUAGCAGUGAAAUGCGUAGAGAUCGUAAGGAAGACCAGUGGCGAAGGCGGGUCUCUGGACAGUUCCUGACACUGAGGCACGAAGGCCAGGGGAGCAAACGGG